AGUCCAAUCCUGGCUUAGGAUGAAUGCUGGAAGCAUGCUUAACACAUGCAAGUAAGAUGGGAAACACGAGAAAUGGUGUUUCCAGUGGUGGACUGGUGAGUAACGCAUAAGAACCUGCCCUUGGGAGGGUAACAACAGCUAAAAAUGGUUGCUAAUAACCCGUAGGCUGAGGAGCAAAAGAAGAAAUUUGCCUGAGGAGGGGCUCGCAUCUGAUUAGCUAGUUGGUGAGGCAAUAUCUUACCAAGGAGAUGAUCAGUAGCUUGUCCAAGAGGAUGAUCAGCCACACUGGGACUGAGACACGACCCAGACUCCUACGGGAGGCAGCAGUGGGGAAUUUUCCAUAAUGGGCGAAAUCCUAAUAGAGCAAUGUCGUAUGGAGGUAGAAGUUCCAUGGGUCGUGAACUUCUUUUCCCAGAGAAUAAGCAAUGACGGUAUCUGGGGAAUACGCAUCAGCUAACUCUGUGCCAGAAGCCACGGUAAUACAGAGGAUGUAAGCGUUAUCCAGAAUGAUUGGGCGUAAACUGUCUGUAGGUAUCUUUUUAAGUCCACCGUCAAAUCCCAGGUCUCAACCCUGGACAGGUGGUGGAAACUACCAAGCUGGAGUACAGUAGGGGUAGAGGGAAUUUUCGAUGGAGCGGUGAAAUGCGUAGAGACCGGAAAGAACACCAACGGCGAGACCGACACUGACACUGAGAGACAAAAGCUAGGGGAGAAAAUGGGAUUAGAUACCCUAGUAGUCCUAGACAUAAACAAUAGAUACUAGGAGCUGUGUGUAUCGACCCGCGUAGUGCUGUACCUAACGCGUUAAGUAUCCUUCCUGGGGAGUACGUUCGCAAAAAUGAAACUCAAAGGAAUUGAGGGCGCCCGCACAAGUGGUGGAGCAUGUGGUUUAAUUCGAUGCAAAGCAAAUAACCUUACCAGGGCUUGACAUGCCGCGAAUUCUCUGAAAGAGAGGGGUGCCUUCAGGAACAUGGACACUAGUGGUGCAUGGCUGUUGUCAGCUCGUGGUGUAAGGUAUUGGUUUAAGUCCCCUAAUAAGUGCAACCCUCGUAUUUAGUUUUCAUCGUUGAGUUUGGAACCCUCAACGGAUUGCCAAUGAUAAGCCAAAGAAAGGUGAGAAUGACAUCAAGUCAUCAUGCCCCUUAUGUCCUGGGCGACACAUGCUACAAUGGUCGGGACAAAGGGUCGCUAUCCUAUGAGGGUGAGCUUACCCUAAAAAUCCAUCCUCAGUUCAGAUUAUAGGCUCCAACUCGCCUGCAUAAAGCCAGAAUUGCUAUUAAUUUCCAGUCAUCCAUAUAGUGGUGAAUUCAUUCCCGGGCCUUAUACACACCGCCCGUCACACUAUAGGAGCUGGCCAUGCCCGAACUUGUUACACUAAUUGCAAGAAGGGGGAUGUCGAAGGCAGGGCUUGUGACUGGAGUGAAGUUAUAAAAAUGUAGUCGUACUAGAAGGUGCGGUUG
This 1460-nucleotide ribosomal RNA is filed under the name Capsicum baccatum. Its description in RNAcentral is "bacterial SSU rRNA". It matches the Rfam family "Bacterial small subunit ribosomal RNA". The record is from RNAcentral. Lineage: Eukaryota; Viridiplantae; Streptophyta; Magnoliopsida; Solanales; Solanaceae.